RNAcentral lists this long non-coding RNA (484 nucleotides) under Nicotiana benthamiana. Its description in RNAcentral is "long non-coding RNA (NBEN_LNC037908)". The record is from RNAcentral. Lineage: Eukaryota; Viridiplantae; Streptophyta; Magnoliopsida; Solanales; Solanaceae.
GAAUAACCAAAAUGCCUAUUGUUAUAUUAACAGAACUUCUGGAAAAUGACUUAUGUGAUACUACUACAUAUGAACAUACAAAUUUAAGCAGAUUCUGUAAUUUUUAGAAUACUUUUUAAACUAAUACAUUUGCCUAGAACAUUUGUAAAGCAAUUUACAAUAUAACAAACAAACAAGCUUCAAAUUAACAUGGUUCAUGCAAUAUUCAAACUAACUGCAUAUUUGUUAAUAAAUUUCUAUCAUGAUUCAGCAAAAGAAUGAAAUCUUGCACUUUUUGUUAAGAAAAGUACCUUGACAGCAGCAAGAAAACAAAUAGAAAGGAAAUAGAUCUCUGAGAAGUUGAGUGAGAAACAACAGCAAACCCAAACAAAAAACCAAAACCAGCUUCCAAUAACCUAGAAAUCCAGAAGAUAGUGAGAAAAACCAGUUGGAGUUCUUUUCUAAUAGUGAAAGAGAGAGACUCUAAAGUAGUGCAGAAUCAGUC